GUCACACUGGGACUGAGACACGGCCCAGACUCCUACGGGAGGCAGCAGCUAAGAAUAUUCCGCAAUGGGCGAAAGCCUGACGGAGCGACGCCGCGUGGACGAUGAAGGCCGAGAGGUUGUAAAGUCCUUUUGCAGAUGAAGAAUAAGGCGAGGAGUGGAACGUCUUGCUGAUGACGUUAGUCUGCGAAUAAGCCCCGGCCAAUUACGUGCCAGCAGCCGCGGUAACACGUAUGGGGCGAGCGUUGUUCGGAUUUAUUGGGCGUAAAGGGCGUGUAGGCGGUUUAGUAAGCCUGGUGUUAAAGGCCUUGGCUCAACCAAGGUUUGGCGCUGGGAACUGUUAGACUAGAGUUCAGGAGGGGGAGCUGGAAUUCCAGGUGUAGGGGUGAAAUCUGUAGAUAUCUGGAAGAACACCGGUGGCGAAGGCGAGCUCCUAGCCAUGGACUGACGCUGAGGCGCGAAAGCGUGGGGAGCGAACAGGAUUAGAUACCCUGGUAGUCCACGCCGUAAACGAUGUGCACUAGGCGUUGGGUACGCAAGAUACUCAGUGCCGGAGCUAACGCAAUAAGUGCACCGCCUGGGGAGUAUGCCCGCAAGGGUGAAACUCAAAGGAAUUGACGGGGGCCCGCACAAGCGGUGGAGCAUGUGGUUUAAUUCGAUUGUACGCGAGAAACCUUACCAGGGCUUGACAUGUGCCUGAAUGUCUGAGAGAUCAGGCAGCCUCUUUUUGAGGCGGGUACACAGGUGCUGCAUGGCUGUCGUCAGCUCGUGUUGUGAGAUGUUGGGUUAAGUCGCGCAACGAGCGCAACCCUUACUGUCUGUUGCUAACAGGUAAGCUGAGGACUCAGACGGAACUGCCGGUGACAAACCGGAGGAAGGUGGGGACGACGUCAAGUCAUCAUGGCCCUUAUGUCCUGGGCUACACACGUGCUACAAUGGUCGGUACAGAGCGUAGCGACACGGCGACGUGGAGCUAAUCGCAAAAAGCCGAUCUCAGUUCGGAUUGAAGUCUGAAACUCGACUUCAUGAAGGUGGAAUCGCUAGUAAUCGCGCAUCAGCAUGGCGCGGUGAAUACGUUCCCGGGCCUUGUACACACCGCCCGUCACACCACCCGAGUUGGGGGUACCCGAAGUCACUAGUCUAACCGGUAACGGGGGACGGUGCCGAAGGUAUGCCUGGUAAGGGGGGUGAAGUCGGAACAAGGUA
Molecule: ribosomal RNA, 1203 nt
Filed under: metagenome
Description: bacterial SSU rRNA
Rfam family: Bacterial small subunit ribosomal RNA
Source: RNAcentral